Musa acuminata AAA Group (dessert banana) is the source of this 1005-nucleotide long non-coding RNA. RefSeq lists it as uncharacterized. Lineage: Eukaryota; Viridiplantae; Streptophyta; Magnoliopsida; Zingiberales; Musaceae. The transcript has 4 exons. The record is from RefSeq and is a predicted model, not a curated record.
GACUGAAAGGGGAACUAUGAUCCCCGGCGAGGUCCGCGGCCCAAUAAUUUCUGCCCGGGAGAUGCCCUCCGGACUCUGCUUCCCAUUCCGUUCAUUACUGGAUUCUGAGGCAGCGAUAUACUUCGUCCUCUGCAGCGGAGGCGACACAGCCGCUCGAUCUCCACAAAGAGGAUCGUAGAUGAAGGUGGCUAUUGACGUACUGCAACAUCCAAAGAAAAAGGUAGUACGAUCAUAUGGGAUUCUUGAAUAGUUUCCUCCUUGCCAAAGAAUCGAGUGUAUGGCGUAAGGGCGACCCUUAUCGGCGACCCUCCCCAGAGCUAUGUUGCUCUCUCCCUCGGCAUUGCUAGAGGGGGAGGAGAUGCCGGUCUUCGUCAGCCUUCUUUCAGACGGCAAAAUUUUAUCACCAAGAAGGCUAAGUGAUGUGGUUGUUGCAGUGCAUGCCAACUCCUCCCCUGCUGACAUCUUUGUGCAUGCAAGCAAUUCAAAGAUUCUUUGUUGGCCUGGAGAUACCUACGUUGACCUACCAUAAGUUGACAAGCCAUUGAGAAUAUUGAUCUUCCCUCUGUGGCUUGGAGCAAAUAGGUAGAGUGAAGGUUCUCUUUUGAGAAUAUACCAAAAGAACUUAUGGAAGAAGUAUCAACAACAGCAAUAAGAACUUUCUGCUCUUCAGGUAGAUUCACAUGGAUUGACUGAAAUAAAAAAGGCCAGUUGGAUGUAUCCGUGUGAUUAUACUUCUCUAUGAGCCAGGUAACAACAGAGUGUUGCUCAGUAUCGGUCUUCACCUCUGGAUUGUGGCGCCAUAAGAAGAAUUCAGCAGCAACUCUCAUCUUGAGAACACAAUUUUAGUGUCUGUAUUUGUUUGACUUGUGGCCUCCUUGCUUUGUCUUCAAAAUGUACAUGUAACUAAUGGUAUGUUAUAUGGCUUGCAUGCACUGUAUGAUAUAUGUGAAAUAUCAUUGCACGUUACUUAGAGAAGGCAGAAAUAAAUGCUGAAGAUCAUAGGAA